Olea europaea var. sylvestris is the source of this 648-nucleotide long non-coding RNA. RefSeq lists it as uncharacterized. NCBI's taxonomy places the organism in Eukaryota, Viridiplantae, Streptophyta, Magnoliopsida, Lamiales, Oleaceae. The transcript is spliced from 5 exons. The record is from RefSeq and is a predicted model, not a curated record.
UGUAUUUGGAAAUCACUUGUUUCUGGUCAGGGUCCGGCAUCUACCAAUACAGCUACACAAGGGGACACAAAUGCAGACCCUGAACUUCUUGAUGAUUCUGAUUUCUAUCAACAAUUACUAAAGGAGUUUUUCGAGACAAUUGAUCCAGCAUCAUCUGAGAGUGCUUUUUAUGCUAUGAAAAGAUUGCAAACAAAGAAACGAAAAAUUGUCGACAGGCGUGCCUCAAAGAGUCGCAAGAUACGGUAUCAUGUUCAUGAAAAGAUUGUCAAUUUUAUGGCACCUCGGCCCAUGAAUCUUUCUCCUGAUGCAUCUUUGAUAUUUCAAAAUUUGUUUGGCCUCAGAACCCAGAAAUCUGCUUCAGCGGUAUAGCCUUCCGACUUUCUAUGCUGCAAAACCGUGUGAGAAUAUCCAAGCUUGAAAUUUCAUUUUUGGUUCACAUGGUUAAAACAAUGGCCAUAGAAUGUUGUAUAAUUUGAUCAACUUUCCAAGUAUUAUGAUAUCUUUGGUUGAAGGUUCUUUGGUAAAAAUGUGCUGUUUGAUGGCUUUCAAUGGGUUUAGAUGUCCCUUCGUAUGGCAAUGGUCCAAUGGAUAUGGCCUCUGUAACUUCGACUAUGAGGCAGGAUAUGGUGAAAAGGAUUUAUUUAUUUA